UGAGGAAUAUUGGUCAAUGGGCGGAAGCCUGAACCAGCCAAGUCGCGUGAGGGAAGACGGUCCUAUGGAUUGUAAACCUCUUUUGCAGGGGAGCAAGGCGCGGUACGUGUACCGCGAAGGAGAGUACCCUGAGAAAAAGCAUCGGCUAACUCCGUGCCAGCAGCCGCGGUAAUACGGAGGAUGCGAGCGUUAUCCGGAUUUAUUGGGUUUAAAGGGUGCGCAGGCGGACUGUUAAGUCAGCGGUAAAAUGUCGGUGCUCAACACCGGCCGGCCGUUGAAACUGGCAGCCUUGAGUGAGCGAGAAGUAUGCGGAAUGCGUGGUGUAGCGGUGAAAUGCAUAGAUAUCACGCAGAACUCCGAUUGCGAAGGCAGCAUACCGGCGCUCAACUGACGCUCAGGCACGAAAGCGUGGGUAUCGAACAGGC
This 425-nucleotide ribosomal RNA is filed under the name uncultured bacterium. Its description in RNAcentral is "bacterial SSU rRNA". It matches the Rfam family "Bacterial small subunit ribosomal RNA", at positions 355 to 777 of the family's 1533-position model. The record is from RNAcentral.